RNAcentral lists this ribosomal RNA (253 nucleotides) under uncultured bacterium. RNAcentral's name for it is "partial 16S ribosomal RNA". It matches the Rfam family "Bacterial small subunit ribosomal RNA", at positions 524 to 776 of the family's 1533-position model. The record is from RNAcentral.
UACGUAGGGGGCGAGCGUUGUCCGGAUUCAUUGGGCGUAAAGCGCGCGUAGGCGGCUUCGUAAGUCGGCCGUGAAAUCUCCAGGCUUAACCUGGAGGGGUCGGGCGAGACUGCGGAGCUCGAGGUGGGCAGAGGGCAGUGGAAUUCCGGGUGUAGUGGUGGAAUGCGUAGAGAUCCGGAGGAACACCAGUGGCGAAGGCGACUUCCUGGCCUGUUCUUGACGCUGAGGCGCGAAAGCUAGGGGAGCAAACGGG